GACGAACGCUGGCGGCGUGCCUAAUACAUGCAAGUCGAGCGGACUUUCAAGAAGCUUGCUUUUGAAAGUUAGCGGCGGACGGGUGAGUAACACGUGGGCAACCUGCCUGUAAGACGGGGAUAACUCCGGGAAACCGGGGCUAAUACCGGAUAAUAUCUUUCUUCGCAUGAAGGAAGGUUGAAAGGCGGCGCAAGCUGCCGCUUGCAGAUGGGCCCGGGGCGCAUUAGCUAGUUGGUGAGGUAACGGCUCACCAAGGCGACGAUGCGUAGCCGACCUGAGAGGGGGAUCGGGGACACGGGGCGUGAGACACGGGCCAGACUCCUACGGGAGGCAGCAGUAGGGAAUCUUCCGCAAUGGACGAAAUUCUGACGGAGCAACGCCGCGUGAGCGAAGAAGGUCUUCGGAUCGUAAAGCUCUGUUGACAGGGAAGAACAAGUACCGUUCGAAUAGGGCGGUACCUUGACGGUACCUGACCAGAAAGCCACGGCUAACUACGUGCCAGCCGCCGCCGUAA
RNAcentral lists this ribosomal RNA (514 nucleotides) under uncultured bacterium. RNAcentral describes it as "partial 16S ribosomal RNA". It matches the Rfam family "Bacterial small subunit ribosomal RNA", at positions 28 to 523 of the family's 1533-position model. The record is from RNAcentral.